GAUGAACGCUGGUGGUAUGCUUAACACAUGCAAGUCGAACGGACUCUUCGGAGUUAGUGGCGGACGGGUGAGUAACGCGUGAGAAUCUGGCUUUGGGUUCGGGACAACCACUGGAAACGGUGGCUAAUACCGGAUGUGCCGAGAGGUAAAAGAGAAAUUGCCUGAAGAUGAGCUCGCGUCUGAUUAGCUAGUUGGUGAGGUAAAGGCUCACCAAGGCAGCGAUCAGUAGCUGGUCUGAGAGGAUGACCAGCCACACUGGGACUGAGACACGGCCCAGACUCCUACGGGAGGCAGCAGUGGGGAAUUUUCCGCAAUGGGCGAAAGCCUGACGGAGCAAUACCGCGUGAGGGAAGAAGGCUCUUGGGUUGUAAACCUCUUUUCUUAGGGAAGAACAAAAUGACGGUACCUAAGGAAUCAGCAUCGGCUAACUCCGUG
This 435-nucleotide ribosomal RNA is filed under the name uncultured bacterium. Its description in RNAcentral is "partial 16S ribosomal RNA". It matches the Rfam family "Bacterial small subunit ribosomal RNA", at positions 28 to 507 of the family's 1533-position model. The record is from RNAcentral.